UGCCAGCCGCCGCGGUAAUACGUACUGUGCGAACGUUAUUCGGAAUCACUGGGCUUAAAGGGUGCGUAGGCGGCCAAUUAAGUAGGGUGUGAAAGACUACGGCUCAACCGUAGUUCUGCGCUCUAAACUGGUUGGCUUGAGUGAGAUAGGGGUGUGUGGAACUUCCAGUGGAGCGGUGAAAUGCGUUGAUAUUGGAAGGAACGCCGGUGGCGAAAGCGACACACUGGGUCUCAACUGACGCUGAGGCACGAAAGCUAGGGUAGCGAACGGGAUUAGAUA
Molecule: ribosomal RNA, 279 nt
Filed under: uncultured bacterium
Lineage: Bacteria
Description: partial 16S ribosomal RNA
Rfam family: Bacterial small subunit ribosomal RNA
Source: RNAcentral